RNAcentral lists this ribosomal RNA (305 nucleotides) under uncultured bacterium. Its description in RNAcentral is "bacterial SSU rRNA". It matches the Rfam family "Bacterial small subunit ribosomal RNA", at positions 334 to 656 of the family's 1533-position model. The record is from RNAcentral.
UACUGCCUACGGGAGGCAGCAGUGGGGAAUAUUGCACAAUGGGCGAAAGCCUGAUGCAGCAACGCCGCGUGAAGGAAGAAGGUCCUCGGAUCGUAAACUUCUGUCCUUGGGGAAGAUAAUGACGGUACCCUUGGAGGAAGGCCCGACUAACUACGUGCCAGCAGCCGCGGUAAUACGUAGGGGGCAAGCGUUAUCCGGAAUUAUUGGGCGUAAAGAGUGCGUAGGUGGUUACUUAAGCGCGGGGCUUAAGGCAAUGGCUCAACCAUUGUUCGCCCUGCGAACUGGGUUACUUGAGUGCAGGAGAG